UUUCAAUCCCUGAGUUUAGGAUGGCUAGAUCUGCUCAGGGAUUGUUUAGUUUUCUGCGAAGGUUUAGGGUCAGAUUCUGCUCUGGUUUCAGGGCCAAAGUGUGUUUCUUUCACUGGUCCUUUAUUGGCCUUUUGGCUCUAGUUUUAGGGACAGGUGUAUUUCUUUCGCUGGCUCUGAUUCCAGGGGCAGGUGUUUCUUUGGCUCUGCUCAGGGUGUGUUUCUUUGGCUGGUCCUUUUCCCCUAAAGUUACAAGCAGCCACAUGGCCAGGAGGGGAGCUCUAGAGGAAGAGUAAGAACGCCUACCGUACCAGAGAACUUGCAUUGGGCCAGCAUCUGAAAGAAAGAUGAAGAAGAGAAGAAAAAUGGAAAGAUGGAUGUUUCUGAGUCAGGACUCCUGGGGAAUUUGGAACUACUGCACUAGAGGCCAAGAAUUUUUUGAAGGGAAGUCUCCAGACCUUUGCCUGAUAAUCAAUAGUCAAGUAGUGCAGGCUCUACAAGUGGAGGUCCCACCGAGAUCGGGAAAGCAAGGACGUCCUCGAAGGCUGGCCAGCAGCACAUCCUGUUUUUCUCUUGCACAGCUGAGCACUCUGGCAAACGUCUUCGGGAAGCCCUAUAGGCUUGUGACUGUGACCUUUUCACCCUGGGGGUUUUCCACUGUGCUGCAAGACAGUAUUUGAGGCUCCACAUUCCCCCAAAUAAAUGGCAUUCUG
RNAcentral lists this long non-coding RNA (710 nucleotides) under Cricetulus griseus (Chinese hamster). RNAcentral's name for it is "lncRNA (ENSCGRG00015037199.1)". Lineage: Eukaryota; Metazoa; Chordata; Mammalia; Rodentia; Cricetidae. The record is from RNAcentral.